CCUACGGGAGGCAGCAGUGGGGAAUAUUGCACAAUGGGGGAAACCCUGAUGCAGCGACGCCGCGUGAGUGAAGGAGUAUUUCGGUAUGUAAAGCUCUAUCGGCAGGGAAGAAAAUGACGGUACCUGACCAAGAAGCCCCGGCUAACUACGUGCCAGCAGCCGCGGUAAUACGUAGGGGGCAAGCGUUAUCCGGAUUUACUGGGUGUAAAGGGAGCGCAGACGGCAGCGCAAGCCUGGAGUGAAAGGCCGGGGCUGAACCCCGGGACUGCUUUGGAAACUGCAUGGCUGGAGUGCAGGAGGGGUAGGUGGAAUUCCUAGUGUAGCGGUGAAAUGCGUAGAUAUUAGGAGGAACACCAGUGGCGAAGGCGGCCUGCUGGACUGUGACUGACGUUGAGGCCCGAAGGCGUGGGGAGCAAACAGGAUUAGAUACCCGGGUAGUC
Molecule: ribosomal RNA, 440 nt
Filed under: uncultured bacterium
Lineage: Bacteria
Description: partial 16S ribosomal RNA
Rfam family: Bacterial small subunit ribosomal RNA
Source: RNAcentral